This 296-nucleotide ribosomal RNA is filed under the name Hygrocybe nigrescens var. brevispora. RNAcentral describes it as "partial 28S ribosomal RNA". It matches the Rfam family "Eukaryotic large subunit ribosomal RNA", at positions 22 to 308 of the family's 3401-position model. Lineage: Eukaryota; Fungi; Basidiomycota; Agaricomycetes; Agaricales; Hygrophoraceae. The record is from RNAcentral.
UACCCGCUGAACUUAAGCAUAUCAAUAAGCGGAGGAAAAGAAACUAACAAGGAUUCCCCUAGUAACUGCGAGUGAAGCGGGAAGAGCUCAAAUUUAAAAUCUGGCAGUUCCAUGAGCUGUCCGAGUUGUAAUCUAGAGAAGUGCUUUCCGUGCUGGACCGUGUACAAGUCUCUUGGAAUGGAGCGUCAUAGAGGGUGAGAAUCCCGUCUUUGACACGGACUACCAGUGCUUCUGUGAUGCACUCUCGAAGAGUCGAGUUGUUUGGGAAUGCAGCUCAAAAUGGGUGGUAAAUUCCA